Apis mellifera (honey bee) is the source of this 1783-nucleotide long non-coding RNA. RefSeq lists it as uncharacterized. The transcript has 4 exons. The record is from RefSeq and is a predicted model, not a curated record. NCBI's taxonomy places the organism in Eukaryota, Metazoa, Arthropoda, Insecta, Hymenoptera, Apidae.
UCCUCGAGCACCGAUACUCGCCAUUGGUUUUAGUAUCUCCGGUUCUCCACGGUUUCUCGGGUCACAGUGGUCCCUGCCGCGGGAGGUACUCGUUCAGAUAUUAAAAUUAGCGAGAUAAAAUCUGCGGAUGGAUAGAGUGGUUCAAUUGAGCGGAGUGGUUUAAUGGUGGCGGGCGGCACCGGUCGCCAGUUGCGACUCAAUAAGGAACGGGCGAAUCGUGCUCUUGUGUUCUUGCGAGAGAGUGUCUUCAUUGCGAGAGAAACGAGGAAGGAGCGUCUUUGUUCGUAAAUCUGAGAAAAUUAUUGAACUGUUGUUAAUUAAGUGCCGGGUUUACGACUGCGGAAGAAUUAUUCUUUUUUCGGUCUGCGGUUAUUUAACAUUGUGGGAAGUGUGUAACCAGUGUAACGUUAAAACGGAAUUACACAAGACCGAUAAUUAUCGAUGGCGGGCAGCCUCUUCCAACAUUCUCGUUCGUUAAAUCCGCGUAACAAUUCUCAAGUUUAUAAUCGAAAUAAUAGCAACGGGAAGAACAUUUCUAUUUCAAUUCCUUAUAUACGGAAUUGAACUACGCAUUCCCAUCUUCCUAAAACCUGAUGAAAUCGAGCGAUGAAAUUCGACGAUAUUAAAAGAUCUUUCACGUAUCUUAUCCAACAAACAUCCAUGAAAGCACAAUCGGAACGCGACAAUCGAUCAAACGACACAAAGACGUGUCGUGUCUCUUUAAUUCACGCAACAUCGUGUGGUCCACAUCCAUACAUAAAUCAGGACCCAUUUUUAGAGGGACCUAGGACGAGGGUCAACCUGGAGGACUCGUAGACACUUCGUAUACCUCCUCUGUCCAACCUCCCCUCCAGUGUUGUGGCACUGUUCUCGCGGUUAUGAUCGGACCGCAGACCACGACCAUUGUUCGAAAGGCAGCCGGGGUCGGUUCGUCUCGUUAUAUGAGCGCAAUGCUGGCAUAGUCGAGAGAUAAACAGCGCUAUGGGGGCUCUCUCCGCCACUAUACGGAGAGAGGAGCGAAGAUAUCCAUAUAGCGGGCUGUGAGAGGUGCAUCUAAUGGGGCGACAAUCGCAUAUCGUUAGGGAUACAGUCCCUGGCAAAAUCUUCGCCACGUCGGAGGUCCGACGCCAGAGUCCCCCGGCCAUUGAUUUCCAUCUGUUCGAUUUUUUCCCUCUCGCUGAGUUUUUGCUGGAUGGAACUACGUUUAUAUAAACUUGUCGAGAGAAAGAGAAACAGGUAUCUGGAUAAUAAAAAUUUCUCUAAUUCCUAUCUCCAUUCGAUUAAACGAUAUUUUCCAUAUGUGCGAGUGGAAUGAUACUCGGGACAGGAGUAGGACAAGAAAGUUCAGGAGGUGUAUAAUUUCUAGAUUGAAUUUUGUGCUAAAGUUUUGAUAAGAAUCUCGAUACUAAAUAGGAGGAACAAUUUCUAGGAAGAGAAACGUGACGUGAAAGUCAAUGUGAAAAUAGUUUAGACUGUUUCUCGCUACGAUUGGGGAGUGACAGAUCGGAUUGCAGUCGUCCCAUAUCAUGUACUUACGUCUCGAUACAAUCGAAUCACAGACAAUGUACAUCCUACAUCUACAAGGAAAACAUAAGUUACAAGAAGAUUGCUUAAACAAAUUCCAAACCAUUUGGAGAAUAAAACCGAUCACCAUAUGAUUUCAAGAUUCACUUAUCAGCAGCCCGUAGCUGCAAUCAUUUUAACGAGAAUUCACUAUCUCUAAGAUGAAACAGAAUCACGGAAGCAUCAAAACAACGUAUAACUGGGACCAUUCAAGCAUAUA